Caenorhabditis elegans is the source of this 21-nucleotide non-coding RNA. The record is from Ensembl. Lineage: Eukaryota; Metazoa; Nematoda; Chromadorea; Rhabditida; Rhabditidae.
UUAUUUUGAUGUCCUUCUUUA